ACGGGUGACUAACGCGUAAGUAACCUGCCUUGUAGCGGGGGAUAACUAUUGGAAACGAUAGCUAAUACCGCAUAACAAUGGAUGACUCAUGUCAUUUAUUUGAAAGGGGCAAAUGCUCCAUUACAAGAUGGACCUGCGUUGUAUUACCUAGUAGGGGAGGUAACGGCUCACCUAUGCCACAAUCCAUAAUCGACCUGAGAGGGGGAUGGGCCACACUGGAACUGAGACCCGAACCACACUCCUACCUCAUACAGGAGGAAGGACUCUUCAGUAUUGGAGGCUGCCCUAACCGCUCAUCCCCGCGCGAGAGAAGAAUGUUAUCGGAUCUCACUGUUCUGAUGUAAAUCAAGAACGAAUGUGAGAGUGGAAACUUCACACUGUGACGCUAGCUUAUCAGAGAGGGACGGCUAACUACGUGCCAGCAGCCGCGGGAAUACCUAAGUCCCGAGCGGUAUCCGGAUUUAAUGCGGGUAAAGCGAGCUCAAGCGGAAAGAUAAGUCUGAACCCAUGGGCUGCGUUUUAACCAGAUUGCGCUGUGUAACCUGUGGAACUUGAGAGCAACUGGUGAAAGUGGAAUUCCAUGUGUUACGGUGAAGUGCAUAGAUAUAUGGGAGGAGCUUCGGUGGGCGAAAGCGGAUCUCUGGGCUGUAACUGACGCUGAGGCUUCGAAGGUGAGAUGACCAGUUAGGUACCAGAUCCCCCUGCAUAGACCACUCCCGUAAAGGAUG
Molecule: ribosomal RNA, 728 nt
Filed under: uncultured bacterium
Lineage: Bacteria
Description: bacterial SSU rRNA
Rfam family: Bacterial small subunit ribosomal RNA
Source: RNAcentral